GCCAUGGUGGUGUAGUGGUUUGAGCAUUAGACUAUGACUCUGGAGAUCAGGGUUCAAUUCCCCACUUGGCC
Molecule: non-coding RNA, 71 nt
Organism: Phrynosoma platyrhinos (Desert horned lizard)
Lineage: Eukaryota; Metazoa; Chordata; Lepidosauria; Squamata; Phrynosomatidae
Source: the annotation of a GenBank genome assembly